This 958-nucleotide long non-coding RNA is filed under the name Ananas comosus (pineapple). RNAcentral describes it as "long non-coding RNA (ACOM_LNC009749)". Lineage: Eukaryota; Viridiplantae; Streptophyta; Magnoliopsida; Poales; Bromeliaceae. The record is from RNAcentral.
AACAAUAUACUCUAUCAUAUAUAAUCAACACAAUUAAAAUUAUUUAAAAAUUAUAUUUUAUAUUUUUUUAACUUCAUUUGACUGUAGAAUGAAUAGUCUCAGAAUAAAUAAUUCAAAAUAAAAUUUUGUAAAAACAAUAAUAAAAGACUUAAAUUUUAUUUGAGAUGUGUGGACCUUAUUCUCUCUCUCUCUCUCUCUCUCUCUCUCUCUCUCUCUCUCUCUCUCUCUCUCUCUAUAUAUAUAUAGAGAGAGAGAGAGAGAGUUUAACUACUAUACUAUCGAUAUAUAGCAGCAAGUCCUUAAUAUUAUCGAUUUCUAUCGUUAGAUCUACAUUUUGAUCAUUUUUCAUUCGUUAGAUUACACAAUUCAACCAACCAUCUAUUCAAUCCUAGAGUACUACUAUUAUUCUAAACGGUGACUACUAUCAUCCUAACCGCACAUUCUUUCAUUCAAUGGUCGAAAACUCGAUAGCACCGAAUGCUUGGUACUAUCGAUAGUAAGGCAGCAUAAUUCUAUAUAGUUGAGCUGUAAUGCUAAAUAGUAUUUGGACUCUUUUGCUAUAGAUUUUUUAACCUGUUAGAUUUACACUUUAAUCAAUUCCAUCUCUUAGAUCAUACUAUUCAGCCAACCACCCACUCAACCCCGAGGGGACCACUACUAAACCCUAGGGGACCACUAUCAUCGUAAUCCUAUAAUUUUUUAUCCAAGAGUUAAAAACUCGAUAGCAAAAAAGCUCAAUACUAUUAAUAGUAUUUCAGUUCAAUUCUCUCUCUCUCUCUCUCUCUCUCUCUCUCUCUCUCUCUCUCUCUCUCUCUAUCUAUAUAUAUAUAUAUAUAUAACUAGGCUGGACUACUAUUAAUAGCACCAAUGACUUGGUACUAUUAAGCUUUCUGCACUUGGAUUAAAAGAUGUGUGGUUAGGAUGAUGUGGAUCUCCUAGGGUUGAGUGAGUGAUUAGU